RNAcentral lists this long non-coding RNA (238 nucleotides) under Vigna radiata. RNAcentral's name for it is "long non-coding RNA (VRAD_LNC004732)". The record is from RNAcentral. Lineage: Eukaryota; Viridiplantae; Streptophyta; Magnoliopsida; Fabales; Fabaceae.
GCACUCAACGCUCAUUUGACCGCUUAGCGGUAGCUCCUAUAAUCGUAGGGCGCUCAACGGUGGAAUCUGGCGCUUAACACUGGCCCUCAGAAUCGUUGGACGCUCAGCGUCGCUGCUCAAGCGAGAAACAGUGCCUUCUUCCUCGAAGCUGGCGCUCAGAGUUGGAAUUGGCGCUGGGCGGUGGACUUCACUCUUCUUUUGCUUCUUUUCUCAUCCUUUCUUGAGUCUAAGUCCUCCC